This 216-nucleotide ribosomal RNA is filed under the name Glomeromycotina sp. RNAcentral describes it as "partial small subunit ribosomal RNA". The stretch from base 75 to 216 matches the Rfam family "Eukaryotic small subunit ribosomal RNA", at positions 721 to 864 of the family's 1831-position model. Lineage: Eukaryota; Fungi; Glomeromycota. The record is from RNAcentral.
GGGUCAGUAGGUUGGUCGUGCCACCGGUACGUACUGGUCUCACUGAUCCCUCCUUCCUGAAGAACCGUAAUGCCAUUAAUUUGGUGUUGCGGGGAAACAGGACUGUUACUUUGAAAAAAUUAGAGCGUUUAAAGCAAGCUAACGCUUGAAUACAUUAGCAUGGAAUAAUGAAAUAGGACGAUCGAUCCUAUUUUGUUGGUUUCUAGGAUUGACGUA